GUUGUGUGUGCGUAAAGGAAGAAAGAAAACUGGGAGAGAGAAAAAUGUUAAAGAUAUAUAUGUAUGUAUGUAUGUAUGUAUGUAUGUAUGUAUGUAUAGAAAACUUAACAAAGAGAUUGAAGAUAUAUAUACAUAGACGACUCUAAGCGAAGGAAAGCAAGAUCCCCUUUUUUUUCUUCUUUUCUCUCUCAUAUGAUGUGAUGAUGAUUUCAUCAAUUUUGUUUUUUUCUCUUUAGAAAGGAAAAAAAAAAUAAUCAAAUAUUGAGAGAAGGAGUUGAACCCAUGAACUCCUAGACCAUAAUCUUAAUUUAUCACCUUUUCUAACAUUGGGCCAACUAAACAUAUAAUUUUGUUUCUGCGCAUGUUUUU
RNAcentral lists this long non-coding RNA (369 nucleotides) under Carica papaya (papaya). RNAcentral's name for it is "long non-coding RNA (CPAP_LNC015190)". The record is from RNAcentral. Lineage: Eukaryota; Viridiplantae; Streptophyta; Magnoliopsida; Brassicales; Caricaceae.